This 787-nucleotide long non-coding RNA is filed under the name Marmota monax (woodchuck). Lineage: Eukaryota; Metazoa; Chordata; Mammalia; Rodentia; Sciuridae. The record is from RNAcentral.
GAAUUCUUGUUUCUCUUAUAGACCACCCAUCACUCAAAUGGCCCUCCAGCCUAUUACUUCUCAAUCUGACUUCUAUCAUGGACCACUAGAUAGACCUGAUAGACCCGAUUUUUAAAGGGGACUCCAAACUGCUUGCCCAACAUCAUCCCCUUUCAGCCUGAAGAAGCCAGAAUGAUCUUCGCCCCCUUUCCUUACAGCAGUAAGGAGUUCCCAAAAUUAGAGGGGGGAAUGAAGCCAGAUUUAAAAUUAGGCAGUCAGGGCUGGGGAUGUCGCUCAAGUGGUAGUGCGCUCCUCUGGCAUGUGUGCGGCCCGGGUUCGAUCCUCAGCACCACAUACCAACAAAGAUGUUGUGUCUGCCGAUAACUAAAAAAAUAAAUAAAUAUUAAAAAAAAAUAAAUAAAAUUAGGCAGUCAGUGUAGUUAGGUAAAUUGAGUCUAAUAUCCAGUGAAAUCUAAAAUGGAGGCCAUGUUGAGAAGAAUUUCCGGAAAAGUUGAGCAACUCUUGAAAUGUUAAUAAAGUCCCAAGAAAAGCCCUAGGCCCAAAGUCCAUCCCAAAGAAAUGUUAAUGAACAGCCCCAGCAGAUUUGAAGAUAGCCCAUCCCAAAGAAGUGUUAAUGAAGUCCUUGCUGCCCAGAUUACUUCUUUGGCCCACCUGUGUCCCACCCCUCAGCCUUCCAACCUACAUUCCAUCAUUGAAAGAACUAUAAAAAGGGGAAACAACCGCACUUCCACGGAUUCCACGUCUUGGGUCCCCUCCUUCCUCCGGGUUAAGUCUUUUCUGCUGUCCU